Molecule: ribosomal RNA, 490 nt
Filed under: uncultured bacterium
Lineage: Bacteria
Description: partial 16S ribosomal RNA
Rfam family: Bacterial small subunit ribosomal RNA
Source: RNAcentral
AUUGAACGCUGGCGGCAGGCCUAACACAUGCGAGUCGAACGGUAACAGGAAACAGCUUGCUGUUUCGCUGACGAGUGGCGGACGGGUGAGUAAUGUCUGGGAAACUGCCUGAUGGAGGGGGAUAACUACUGGAAACGGUAGCUAAUACCGCAUAACGUCGCAAGACCAAAGAGGGGGACCUUCGGGCCUCUUGCCAUCGGAUGUGCCCAGAUGGGAUUAGCUUGUUGGUGGGGUAACGGCUCACCAAGGCGACGAUCCCUAGCUGGUCUGAGAGGAUGACCAGCCACACUGGAACUGAGACACGGUCCAGACUCCUACGGGAGGCAGCAGUGGGGAAUAUUGCACAAUGGGCGCAAGCCUGAUGCAGCCAUGCCGCGUGUAUGAAGAAGGCCUUCGGGUUGUAAAGUACUUUCAGCGGGGAGGAAGGGAGUAAAGUUAAUACCUUUGCUCAUUGACGUUACCCGCAGAAGAAGCACCGGCUAACUCCGUG